RNAcentral lists this ribosomal RNA (468 nucleotides) under uncultured bacterium. RNAcentral's name for it is "partial 16S ribosomal RNA". It matches the Rfam family "Bacterial small subunit ribosomal RNA", at positions 28 to 507 of the family's 1533-position model. The record is from RNAcentral.
GACGAACGCUGGCGGCGUGCUUAACACAUGCAAAUCGAACGGAAAGGCCCUGCUUUUGUGGGGUGCUCGAGUGGCGAACGGGUGAGUAACACGUGAGUAACCUGCCCUUGACUUUGGGAUAACUUCAGGAAACUGGGGCUAAUACCGGAUAGGAGCUCCUGCUGCAUGGUGGGGGUUGGAAAGUUUCGGCGGUUGGGGAUGGACUCGCGGCUUAUCAGCUUGUUGGUGGGGUAGUGGCUUACCAAGGCUUUGACGGGUAGCCGGCCUGAGAGGGUGACCUGCCACAUUGGGACUGAGAUACGGCCCAGACUCCUACGGGAGGCAGCAGUGGGGAAUAUUGCACAAUGGGCGGAAGCCUGAUGCAGCAACGCCGCGUGCGGGAUGACGGCCUUCGGGUUGUAAACCGCUUUCGCCUGUGACGAAGCGUGAGUGACGGUAAUGGGUAAAGAAGCACCGGCUAACUACGUG